Molecule: ribosomal RNA, 225 nt
Filed under: Triticum aestivum (bread wheat)
Lineage: Eukaryota; Viridiplantae; Streptophyta; Magnoliopsida; Poales; Poaceae
Description: partial small subunit ribosomal RNA
Source: RNAcentral
AUGUCGGCCUGCCUCUAUGAUUCCAACGUCCGGCGCAACUUCUCCGUCGGCCUACCGCAGUUGGCGCGUGUCUACCCCUGGAUGGCCACCACAUGGGAGAUGCGGGAAGACCGGGAGUUUCCAACAGGUCUCUCUGCAGUGCUACAGGUGUCACCCAAAGCUGGUGAUGUUUUGCGCUUGGAGAAAGCAUGUAAUCUUACAGUUGAUGACCCUUUUGAGUGCUGA